Odocoileus virginianus texanus is the source of this 1052-nucleotide non-coding RNA. The record is from RefSeq and is a predicted model, not a curated record. Lineage: Eukaryota; Metazoa; Chordata; Mammalia; Artiodactyla; Cervidae.
CACUUUUUAUCACCACCAGGUGCCUGGCUCCAAAUUGUAACUACCUGCCAUAGAUAUUAGAAGUUUUAUUUCUUUGGAUAAAGGUAAUCAACAAACACAAUGGCCACCUCAGUUAUCAGCUGAAUGUAAGAUGAGCUGUGUAUGAAAACGGUGCUGGUAAGCCUUGCUUGAGGACAACCUAUCGUUUAUUUUGUGAACAAGUAUGUAAUCAGUUGUGUCUGCCUGGUGAUUUCUUUCCAUCUUUGCAGUUUCCUUAUGGGUUGUCUGUGACGCUCAUCACAUUCUGACUUGGCACUUAUUCAAUCAUAAAACUGUUUUCUAUUUUUGUGACAGUUUUUCUAGGUGGGCAGGAGAUUUUGGUUUUAAUUAAGAUUUCCACAAGAGCAACCGGUUAUUAAAUAAACACAAAGAAGUAUAGUUGAAAGGUGAGUAGAACCAUGAGUGGAAUUCUAGAAUACGCAGCACACAAAAGGCAGAAAAGAGGCAAAGAAAUAUAAGGACAGACGGGACCAAGGGAAAGCAAAGACCACGAUGGAAGGUUUAAAGUCAUCCAUACAGUACCUUGGCGAUCGGAUUCUUCCUGGACAGGUCCUCUCCCUCCCGGAGAGCCACAGGGGCGGUGAUCCAGGCGCGCUUUUGUCUCACUGGGUGAACUUCUCUUAAUUUCUACUGAAACAGUAUCUGAAUGAGUCAUACCUUUGGAGAGAGAGUCACGCCCAUUUCAUGCAGAAUCAGCUACAAUAAAGGAAUAAGAGGAACUGGUGAUAUUUUUGGAAUUUACCUGCGUGGUUUUCAUUUUCCUGGGAUUGAUCUAGGACAUCUGAGUUAAGCCAUCCACUUUUCUUCACUCAACAUUCACUGGAAUCCACUUUCUGCUUACCUUACCCCAGGUCCAAGUUGAAUUGUCUGUAUUUAAGAAUGAGGAGGGUCAGCGAAACCAAGAUGUGAGGCUCUGAAGGGACUUGUUUUGUGGUAUCCCUUCAAAGGAAGACAAAAAUAACAGACAUUUGUUGUUGUUGUUCAGUUACUAAAUUGUUUCUGAUCUUUUGUGA